UUUCCCAUAGCUUAUGUUCUAAUUAAUUGAUUCUCUCCCGUCUUUAUCACCAAAAACACUACUGCCUUGCCUUCGAAAUCUCGUCUCAUACUCCAGUUUACCUGCAAGCCUUUAAUGGCUGCUGCCUUUAAUAUGUUUAAUUUAUUUACUUGCGCCCUGAAUUUAUGUCUUUGAUACUUCGCAGGAUUGUGAAGAAAGAUGACAAAGAGCUGCUUCAAGCUAGAGCAUGAUUUUUUUUUUAGAUGAUUUUAUCUUAGUUUUUCCUAUCCCUAAUUGUUUUUUUAUUGGUUUUUAUGUUUCUGAUUGAAAAUAAUAUCGUGUCUGCAGAGGAGAGGCGCGCUGAGGCUGCAAGAAUUAGGGAGAAAUACGCAGGUAGAAUUCCGGUGAGAAUUCAAUUGAUCGUUGACUUUUGGCUUGUUACUUGAUUUCUGAAUGAGCUCUGACUCUGAGAGUUGAUAAUGAAUUAUUCCAUAUGCAAUCAAAUUGAAUGAUUAGAAUUUAUGAUUACAAUUGUGAACCAGUUUAUAGGUUGAUGUUGUGUUUUGGGGAUGAACUGAAAUAAUUUAAUGCAACUAAGGUAGGAUAAGAAAAGGAUUAUGGGAAUGUGUUCACUUCAAUGACGAUGCCUUGAAUGUCUAAUACUCAUAUAAAGAAGCAUCUACAUUAUUUUCAUGCUAGUUUUCUGGUAUGAAUAGAAACUGCCUCAAUUUUACCGUUUACAUUUUGAGUUCAGUGAAUAGAGAGCAUAUUUAGUAGAUUUUAUAAGUCAUCUUUAACAAAUGCUGCAUGGGGCUUUAAUGGAAUGUUUUGUUAUUUUUAUCUUUUGUGGAAGAAAUUUCCUGCCUGAACUAAACAGAGAGGCUUUGCUAUUGCAUCUUUUUUCAACCAAAGCCAUUUGAAAAGAUCUUUUGGUGAUAAGAUUCAAUAACAGUCUUGCAUUUUGGGUUUAUAAUAGUGGAAGCUUUAUUAUUUAUUGGGUUGAAGGUAGAACCUGUCAAAGGUGCCACCUCCUCUUUCUCCCCUUCUUUCCAACAGAAAAAAGGGAAGAAGAAAGGAAAACAAUACUCAUUUAGAGGAUUGUGAAUUAAAUUGUUUGCUUGCUGGGCUGUUAAUUUUUGCUCAAGCUUUAUGUUGUUUAUUGCAUUCAUUAUGCAGUGGGUUACCUUUUCCCAUCGGUAGCAUUGUCUUGAACCUUUGUAUUCUCAGUUUGAUUCUACUUUUUAUCGACUCCUGCAUUUCUAGGUAAUUGUGGAGAAGGCUGAGAGAAGUGAUAUCCCCAAAAUUGACAAGAAAAAGUAAUUGUGGAGAAGGCUGAGAGAAGUGAUAUCCCCAAAAUUGACAAGAAAAAGGGCAGUAAUGUCUACAAUAUAUGAUAAAAAGGAGGAUGCAGAUGGAUUUCUGUAUGUCGCAUACAGUGGAGAGAACACAUUUGGGAGCAGAUGCUGCCGUAGCUC
This 1454-nucleotide unclassified non-coding RNA is filed under the name Hevea brasiliensis (rubber tree). The record is from RNAcentral. Lineage: Eukaryota; Viridiplantae; Streptophyta; Magnoliopsida; Malpighiales; Euphorbiaceae.